GAGUAUAAAGCUAUCUCACCUUUUAUUGAUGGUUCAUUCCGAUAGCAAACACUGAAAGACGAGUAUCAUCAUGAAGACUGCUUGCCUAAUUGUUCUCUUGGUCACGUGCGUUUUGUUUUCAAGUAUGCCACAGGCUGAAGCCCAGAAUGAUUACUAUCCACCUGGUGGUAAUAAUUGCGUGUGCAGAAUGCAGUGCCGGCCAAGAGAGUGGAAUGCAGGUAGCUGUUCUUGGAAUAGAAUCAGAUGUUGCAGCAGGGGUAACACCAACUAUUAGAAGUCAGCCGACCAUAAGGAACCCAUGCAGUUGGAUUAUUGAGACAUCGAAUUAUACAAUAAAGUUCAAGUUAUGUAGAGUUGUUGUUGUCAUUCGAAUAAAACAGCUGCAUUUA
This is a long non-coding RNA of Dreissena polymorpha, 389 nucleotides long. RefSeq lists it as uncharacterized. The transcript has 3 exons. NCBI's taxonomy places the organism in Eukaryota, Metazoa, Mollusca, Bivalvia, Myida, Dreissenidae. The record is from RefSeq and is a predicted model, not a curated record.